UGAGGGCACUCUGUGAAUCCCUCAAUUCAAAGAUUCACUUCAAAUUCAAAAUUGAAAACUUUCGUAUUUCGUCAAAAGCUUACAAUCCUCGACUUUGUGGCUACGCAUGUCAUGAAACUGAGGCUGUCUCUGUUGACCUCCGUACUCGGCAUCACAUCAACGUACAUGCUCAUUUCAGUACAAAUGAGGAAUGCUGUUUCCGAUAAUUUAACCAAUAAGGAUUUAAUCCCGUAAUACGCGGAUGUACUGAUUCAGAAAUAAUUUUAAUUCAAUGAUUAUGAAGCGUGCUAGAUUUUGUGCAUAGUCAUACUCUUCGGAAAAUGACAGACACGUGAAAUUCAUUCAUCAAUAUAGCUCGAGAAAGGUUGCGUUUUUCUCCUGCCUGUUUCAUAAUUGCCUGGUAGAAUAAUUUUCAAUGAUUUUUACACAGAAUAAAUGUAGUUUUUUCAAUUUACUUGAUGUACACUCGUUUCUCCUAGCAUUUUGAUCAAUGGGUCAGUUGAUGAUGAGAGGAGUAAAAACUCCUCUUCAAAUUCAAAAGCUACGUACAAGCCUCUAUUUUGUAUGCGCCUUAACUCCCUCCUCCUCAUAAUAAAAAAAUGUUCUCUCAUCAAACGCAAUUCGAAAAUUAAAAAACAAUGAGUGGU
RNAcentral lists this long non-coding RNA (647 nucleotides) under Bemisia tabaci. RNAcentral describes it as "lncRNA ENSSSA1UGG001257". Lineage: Eukaryota; Metazoa; Arthropoda; Insecta; Hemiptera; Aleyrodidae. The record is from RNAcentral.